This 90-nucleotide transfer RNA is filed under the name Epibacterium sp. DP7N7-1. RNAcentral describes it as "tRNA-Ser". It matches the Rfam family "tRNA". Rfam says of the family: Transfer RNA (tRNA) molecules are approximately 80 nucleotides in length. Their secondary structure includes four short double-helical elements and three loops (D, anti-codon, and T loops). The record is from RNAcentral. Lineage: Bacteria; Pseudomonadati; Pseudomonadota; Alphaproteobacteria; Rhodobacterales; Roseobacteraceae.
GGGUGGCUGGCCGAGCGGUCGAAGGCACCGGUCUUGAAAACCGACGGGCGUGAAAGCGUCCCCAGGGUUCGAAUCCCUGGCCACCCUCCA